AAUUGCUGGCAGAGGAAUAAAGCCAUAUAAUUAAAAAUGAGAAAGAGCUGCUGUAACAGGCAUGCAGUAUAUUCUAUAUGCCACUUGCAAUAGUGCGUGAAAAAUGUCUCCGUAAGUCUUCACAUUGUGCUGGGUGGUAAAUGUCAUGUUGUGUUACCUGAUGUUUUAAAUGAAUGAUGAUGUCUGCUGUGCUCAAGUUCAUUCAAAAGUCUUAGACAGACUGCUGAGUUACACACUACCGGUACUAGCUGAGAAACAGACUCCAUGUCCCUGGGGAAUGGGAGUAGAGACGCAUCUAGGCCACUCAUUUUCAAUGCACCCUUGGUCUUCUAAUGGGCUGCAUGAGCAGAGGAGAAUGAGACCAGGUUGGCUGGAGCACAAGCUCACACCAUGAAAACCUACUGACACUCUUUAGUCCUCACUCAGCAUAUACCGUCUCCCAUCCACGACUCCGAGCACUUAGCCCUCCACCGGGACUCUACAUUCCUCCAUCCCUUCACUGUCCCUAUUUAUAUAUUUUCCCACUUGUGUAAUCUCUUUCAGCACUUACUCAUACCCUUACUCACACACACCACCAUACACACCCCUGCACAUGUUCAGUAGGAAAGAAAAAAACAACAGCACUUGGACUAAAAACCCAGUUCCCUGCUAUCCACACUUCUAUCCAAAAAGCCUCUGAAACGCUUCGGCACAUCAGACCAUUUUCUCCGCUCCGUCCUGUCAUGGAGCCAGUGCCACUCGUUUGCUCAGACGCUCGCUUAAAGCACAUCUGGGUGCCGCUUUCGAGGAGCCAACAUGUAAUUGGGGUCAUAAAAGGAGCUUAUAAAUGAAUGAUGGAUUGUUGAGGAAAUCUCUGCCACAGACUCUGCUGACCUGGGAUAGAUUGGAAGGUUGGAUUCAAUGGGGCAAACAGUAUUUUCACUGCAUGUGUGUUUAAGCAUCUGUGUGUGUUUUAACAUGUCGGGGCAUGUCCCUGUUGGCUCGAGGAAGUUGGGAAAGUUCCAGUUAGCAGGAAGCUAACUUGAAAUAGAAUUCAAAACAGUGCAUUCCUUCACUGUUCACUCGCUAUAGAUGUGAUAAUGCAGGUUGAGCCGGUUGUUUUAUUAACUCAUACCUCACAUGUUCACACAGUCACCUGUAAAACUCAGGUGAUCUGAACACCUUUGUUGUUGUGGCAGGUGCAUCAUGCAGAGUUGAGUCAUUUCAGCGUCAUGUAGCCCCGGGGGGGGAUAAGCAGACUGAUCCAUUUCACUGAAGCCUCAUCAGAAUUGGUCUCAGAGGACUGGUGGCUGUCAGGAGGUUACGACAAGGACAAAAGCUUGAGGGCUCCAGUGUCCGGGCUUUGACGCUCUCCACGGCUCUCUGGCUCUCAUCUCUAAGCUUUUUGCCAACAACACAUAUCGGUCACUUUUUAAGCUCUGUCAAGUAAGCCACCUGGAGGCAGAAGUGAACCGGAAGUUACUCUGAUGAUGUACUAUAAAAAUAAACUCCAGAGAGAAGAAAAGAAAAAAAAAAACACCUCAUGAUCAUGUCCACAGCGAAUAUUUAGCACAUCUGAAAUUAGACACAUUGCAGAAACAUGAUUAUAAAGAUCACUUUUAUACUUAGGCUUGUAGCUGGUUAUGCAGAUUUUAAAAAGUGAAGCGAUCUCUGCCAAAUUUGGGUUUACGUUAAGAAAUAUAAAAAUGCUUAAAUGUGGAGCUCAGUGGAUGUAAAGAG
This is a long non-coding RNA of Oreochromis niloticus (Nile tilapia), 1719 nucleotides long. RefSeq lists it as uncharacterized. The transcript is spliced from 3 exons. Lineage: Eukaryota; Metazoa; Chordata; Actinopteri; Cichliformes; Cichlidae. The record is from RefSeq and is a predicted model, not a curated record.